Mus musculus (house mouse) is the source of this 1133-nucleotide long non-coding RNA. RefSeq annotates it as predicted gene, 26510. NCBI's taxonomy places the organism in Eukaryota, Metazoa, Chordata, Mammalia, Rodentia, Muridae. The record is from RefSeq and is a predicted model, not a curated record. The transcript has 4 exons.
GGGACUUGAGGCAGGAGCUGACCUAAGAGAAAACAGCCCGUGAACCCGUGCGGAGAGAGGCUGCUGGAGCUCCAGGACCUACAUCUGCCUGGACUGUGUUCUGGAGGCAUCAGGUCAGACUUCCUCAUCCUCUCCAUCACUGAUGGUCGCUCCUGUCCAAAAUCUCCUCCUGGAUCCGCAAAAAGAGAUUCCACCCAGAAGAAUACAUACUGGAAGGGACCACAUCUUGAGAAGACAGCCAUUCAUCACAUGGGACCCAACGUACCGGGGCUCAGAACACCCUCUUCCCAGUGGACAGCCAUUAACACAGAAACGCACAGCUAGUCAAGGUGCCGACAAAGCAUCAACGGUAUGGUCAGCCACAAAGGUGACUUUUAUAUCAACUGUAGCCGCCUGCGGCCACACUAACUGGGUUCCUGAGUGGGAGGCCGGAGCGGUAUGGAAGGAAACGGCGAGAGAAAUAAUGAUCAACAAACCACCAAACCCUUGGGGACCCAGUGCAGAAGAGGGGACAGCGAGACUAUAAGAGUCAGGUCAUGGAGGACCAGAGAGAAACUGUGUCCUCUGAGUAUGGCAAGGCCACAACACUCAUGAACUCAUGGUAACUGUGGGAACGCAAGACCAGCACUGGAUCAGGACAACCAUCAUUCUACCAUGAGGGAGGAGGGACUUGUGGACCCCCCACCCAGCUGAGGAGCUGCUCAGAGUUAAUGGUUUCUGUGGGAAAGAGAGACAGUGUGGGUCCUGACAGAUUGACCAUGCUCCAGUAGAUGGCUCUACACCCAUGAGUAUUCAGGCAGCACAAAUCAGGGUUUUUGUUUGGUUGAUUGGGCUUGCUUUUUUUUUUUCCCCCAUUAGAAAAGGGCUCAGUAGGUCUGUUGGCACAUGCUUCAAUCCCAGUACUCCAGGAAGCAGAGGCAGGUGGAUCUCUAUGAGUUAGAGACCAGCUUGGUCUAUAUAGUGAGUUCCAGGCCAGCCACAGCUACACAAUGAAACCCUGUCUCAAAACAAACAAAAAUGAGGGCAAGAAGUUGGGGGUGGAUCUAAAAGGAGCUAAGGGAGAGAGUACAGGGUGAAUAUGUUCUAAAUACAUUAUAUGAAAUUCUUUAUUUUAAAAUAUAUACUAUACAUGC